AAUUGUCAUUGUUCAAUUCAGCCUUGCAUGCUGCCCGUUCAGACAUACACAAUGUGAGACUGCGGACGGCUCAUUUUAUCAGUUAUAAUCUGCUCGAUUGUCCAGGUUAGUGGAUAACCGUGGGAAAUCUAGAGCUAAUACAUGCACCUCUGGCAGUCUCGCGACUGUCGUGGCAUUUAUUAGAGCGAUACCGACCGUGUGAGCAAUCACGCGAGGUGAAUCUAGAUAACUGUGCAGAUCGUACGGCCUUGACCUGACCACAUUUCGAUUGAAUUUCUGCCCUAUCAACCAAUCGCAAGUGUAAGGUACUUGCGAAGUGACUACGGGUAACGGGGGAUCAGGGUUCGAUUCCGGAGAGGGAGCCUGAGAAACGGCUACCACAUCCAAGGAAGGCAGCAGGCGCGCAAAUUACCCAAUCCAGACAAUGGGAGGUGGUGACGAAAAGUACCGGGUGGCGACUAUGUUGCCAGCCUGGAAUGAAUGCAAUUUAAGCAAUUGAAUUGAGAAACGACUGGAGGGCAAGUCUGGUGCCAGCAGCCGCGGUAAUUCCAGCUCCAGUAGCCUAUCUCAAAGUUGCUGCGCUUAAAACGCUCGUAGUUGGAUCACGCACUGUGCGGAGGUGUGUCACUGCGUGCGACGCGGCUCAAUUUGCAGUUGGCUGGGUCGAAGUCACGGUGACUAUGAGCCACCGCACAGUAAUUGCACGUGAGGAUGGCAGUUGGCCUUGAGUGCGUCGACAGUCGUGUCUCACGGGGUGUGCCUUGAGUAAAUCAGAGUGCUCAAAGCAGGCGAAUGCCUGAAUGUUGAUAGCAUGGAACGAACAAUCGUGUAGGGUGUGUGCUGGUUGAGGUGCGUCGCGAGACCGCCGCAGCACACGACACCGACCGCCGGCGCCGGAUGUUGGUUCCGCGUUGGGGUAGAGAUUAAGAGGAGCGGUUGGGGGCAUUGGUAUUUGGCAGCGAGAGGUGAAAUUCUUGGACCUGCCAAGGACUAACAAAUGCGAAGGCAUCUGUCCAGACCGUAUCCAUUAAUCAAGAACGAAAGUGAGAGGUUCGAAAGCGAUCAGAUACCGCCCUAGUUCUCACUGUAAACGAUGCCGACCCGGGAUCAGUUUGGAGCCAUUUUCCACGCUCGAGGUUGGUCCCCCUGGGAAACUUGAAGUUUUUCGGUUGCGGGGGGGAGUAUGGUCGCAGGCUGAGACUUAAGGAAUUGACGGAUGGGCACCACCCCGGGUGGAGCCUGCGGCUUAGUUUGACUCAACACGGUAAAACUUAGCCUGGUCAGACGUCAUAAGAUAGACGAACUAACAGAUCCCUUUCUUUGAUUAUGUGUUGU
RNAcentral lists this ribosomal RNA (1335 nucleotides) under Henneguya sacacaensis. RNAcentral's name for it is "SSU rRNA". It matches the Rfam family "Eukaryotic small subunit ribosomal RNA", at positions 25 to 1278 of the family's 1831-position model. The record is from RNAcentral. Lineage: Eukaryota; Metazoa; Cnidaria; Myxozoa; Bivalvulida; Myxobolidae.